CAAAGGUUAUGUAAUAUUAAUAGUGAUUUAAAGAAUAUUGUAGAGAGCAAAUACUUUGGUCAAUUUCAACUUCUUUUUUGGGAAAAUUGUGAGUUACUUGAAAAAAGUGCAAGGCUGCCAAUAAGAUCCUGUAUAUUGCUACUGACCCUGGACCUAACCCUGUAUAUAGCUACUGACCCUUGAACUCAUCCUGUAUAUAGCUACUGACCCUGGAACUCACCCUGUAUAUAGCUACUGACCCUGGAACUCACCCUAUAUAUAGCUUACAUAGUUUCUUGUGUUCUUAUUUUUGUUAUACUUUACUUUAAAAAAUAAAUAAUACUACUGAUAUUGAUUACUGCACUGUUGGGAAAAACCCUGCAAGGCAUUUCACUGUACUUGUGCAUGUGACAAUAUAAACUUGAUUAGAAAAGGGUAGAGGAGGAGAAGAUGAGGAGGUAGAGAAGAUGAGGAGGAAUAGAGAGAAGCUGAGGAGGUGGAAUAAAGAAGAUGAAGAGAAAUAGAGAGAAGAUGAGGAUUAGAGUGAAGAUGAUGAGGAGGUGGAGAGGAGGAAAAGAGAGAAGAUGAGGAGGAAUAGAGAGAAGAUGAGGUGGAGAGGAGGAAUAGAGAAGAUGAGGUGGAGAGGAGGAAUAGAGAGAAGAUGAGGAGGAAUAGAGAGAAGAUGAGGAGGAGGAGAGGAAGAAUAGAGAGAGAUGAGGGGGAGAAGAGGAGGAAUAGAGAGAAGAUUAGGUGGAUACGAGGAAUAGAGAGAGAUGAAGAGGUGGAGAUGGGGGAAUAGAGAGAGAUGAGGUGGAGAGGAGAGUAGAAAUAGAGAGAAGAUGAGAAGGGGGAGAGUAGGAAUAGAGAAUAUGAGGAGGGAUAGAGAGAAGAUGGAGAGGAGGAAUAGAGAGAAGAUGAAGAAUAGAGAAAAUGAGGAGGUGGAGAGAGAUGGAGAGGAGGAAUAGAGAGAAGAUGAGGAGGAAUAGAGAGAAGAUGAGGUGGAGGGGAGGAAAAGAGAAGAUGAGGUGAAGGGGAGGAAUAUAGAAGAUGUGGAGGGUUAGAGGAGGAAUAGAGAGAAGAUGAGGUGGAGAGGAGGAAUAUAGAGAAGAUGAGGAGGAGGAAUAGAGAGAAGAUGAGGUGGAGAGAGAAGAUGAGGAGGAAUAGAGACGAUGAGGAGGUGGAGGAAUAGAGAAGAUGAGGAGGGGGAGAGGAGGAAUAGAGAGAAGAUGAGGUGGAGAGGAGAAAUGGAGAGAAAAUGAGGAGGUGGAGAGGAGGAAUAAAGAAUAUAAGAAGGGAUAGAGAUAAGAUGAGGUGGGGGACAGGUGGAAGAGAGAAGAUGAGGAGGUGGAGAGAGAAGAGGGGGAGAGGAGGAAUAGAGAGAAGUUGAGGGGGAGAUGAGGAAUAGAGACAUGAUGAGGAGGUAGAGAAGAGGAAUAGAGUAGAUGAGGAGGUGGAGAGGGGUAAUGGAGAGAAUAUGAUGAGUAAUAGAGAGAAGAUGAGGAGGUGGACAGGAGGAAUAGAAAGAAGAUGAGGUGGAGAGGAUGAAGAGGUGGAGAGUAGGAAUAGAGAAUAUGAGGAGGGAUAGAGAGAAGAUGAGGUGGAGCGUAGGAAUAGAGAGAAGAUGAGGAAGUGGAAUAGCGACGAUGAUGAGAUGGAGGAUUAGAGAAGAUGAGGGGGAACAGAGAGAUGAUGAGGUGAGACGAGGAAUAGAGAGAAGAUGAGGAGGGAUGUGCGAGGUAGUAAUGCAUCAUCAUCAUGACUUACAUUUUAGUCAUUUAGCAGACGCUCUUAUCCAGAGCGACUUACAGUAGUGAAUGCAUACAUUUCAUAAAAAAAUUUUCCC
This 1822-nucleotide long non-coding RNA is filed under the name Salmo salar (Atlantic salmon). RNAcentral describes it as "lncRNA (ENSSSAG00000102912.1)". Lineage: Eukaryota; Metazoa; Chordata; Actinopteri; Salmoniformes; Salmonidae. The record is from RNAcentral.